AGCAAAAAGUAGAAAUCUCCAAGGGCACCGCGGACCCUUCUCUAAUGAAUCAAUGGAAACGCCCACUGAUCUGGAGAUGUGAUAUCUGGAACCCCCCACCCCCUCUCACCGCCGACCAGCCCCACUGCUGCACCGUUGCCUGCCCUCGCAAUUUUGGGGCGGGACUGGAGAGAGCCUGCUGAAUAAUCGCCCUGCGCAUGCGCAGCCGCCAUGAGUCACGUGGCCUGACGCCACCCAAGUCCUCAAGGGCGAGGCCUCAGGAACUUUCUGUCGUCAGUGGGGACCCUUGGGACAGCUUUCUUCUCACCUCGGCUGGAGCUUGGGGUCCUUGGAACACCCGAGUGUGCACUUGAAGGGCUGAGAGAGAAGGCAAAGACCUUCCAGAACCUCAAAUGAGGGUUCUUUUGACCUUCGUAUGUUUUCUGUUUUGAGUCAGGGUCUAGCUCUGUUGCCCAGGCUGGAGUGCAGUGGUGCAAUCACAGCUCACUGCAACCUCUGCCUCCCAGGUCAAGGGAUCCUCUUGCUUCAGCCUCCUGAGUAGCUGGGACCACAGGUUCGCACAAUCACCCAAGCUAUUUUUUUUUUUUUUUUUUUUUUUUUUGAGACCUAGUCUCAUUUUGUCUCCCAGACUGGAGUGCAGUGACGCGAUCCUGUCUCACUGCAACCUCCACCCUCCGGGUUCAAGCGAUUCUCUUGCCUCAGCCUCCCUAGUAGCUGGGAUUACAGGCGGCUGCCACCACGCCUGGCUAAUUUUUGUAUUUUGGUAGAGACGGGGUUUCACCGUGUUGCCCAGGCUGGUCUCGGGAACUCCUGAGCUCGGGCAAUGCGCCUGCCUCGGCCUCCCAAAGUGCUGGGAUUACAGGCAUGAGCCAACGCGCCCGGCCCACCCAAGUUAUUUUUAAAAUUUUUUUGUAGAGAGGGGGUCUCACUUUGUUGCCCAAGCUGGUCUGGAAUCCUGGCUUCAAGCGACCUGCCCGCUUUGGUCACCCAAAGUGUUGGGAUUACAGGAGGUGCUCCCAGUCACCCUUUCCAUGUUUGAGGGAGGCUUUCCCAGGCCCCUGGGACCAAAGGAAACCAACCAGGGAAAUGGCUGGCCUGAGGCAGGUCAGCCCUUCUGGGCAGCCCUUCCUCAUCCGUUCACCCAGGUAACAAAUGAGCCCUUCCCUGGUGUUCAGCACUAAAGAUACAGUGACAAGGACCCAGCUGGGGAGAUAGACUUUCCCUGGGAAGUGGAAACUGAGUGGAAACUGAAGGGAUGCAUCCGAGUUAAUCUGGGGGAGCUGGGAGAGAAAGAGGUUGCAGACGGACCAGGGACAUUGAGGAGGGUAAAAGCUUUCAAGGGGGAAUGAGCCUGGAUGGUCUCGAGAACUGAUGGGCGUGGGAACAGUGGCCUUGGGAAGAAUUUUGGACUUGAUCCUAAGAGCAGCAGGAAGCCACUGAAAUUGGGGGAUAAUGUAAUUUUUAGAGUCCUGCACUGAAUCAUUUUGCUUUUCUUUCUCAUUCAGAAAAAUGGAUUUUGAAUUCCACACCUGCCAUACUAAUUUUUAAAACUUUAUUUUCAGAAAUAGAAAAGAAGAGAACAAUGGACUAUGUGUUUCUUCUCAGGGUUAAAUAUGCUAAAAGACGCAAAUUGCCUAGCAUUCUAUAUGUGGUCUAUAAAUGGUAAUUCCCUAUCUCUCCUCUAAAUUCCAUUCCACAAUUUGCACCAUUCCAGGAGCAUUGGAGGAGAUCAAUCCUCCCUACAGACUAAAGAUAAAUUUCAUUUGAAGUACCUGGGUGGAUGAAAAAUUUGAUUAGUUCAAAAGAUUAAAGGGU
RNAcentral lists this long non-coding RNA (1815 nucleotides) under Homo sapiens (human). Its description in RNAcentral is "HSALNT0195978". The record is from RNAcentral. Lineage: Eukaryota; Metazoa; Chordata; Mammalia; Primates; Hominidae.